RNAcentral lists this ribosomal RNA (450 nucleotides) under uncultured bacterium. Its description in RNAcentral is "partial 16S ribosomal RNA". It matches the Rfam family "Bacterial small subunit ribosomal RNA", at positions 338 to 795 of the family's 1533-position model. The record is from RNAcentral.
CCUACGGGUGGCUGUAGUAAGGAAUAUUGGUCAAUGGACGCAAGUCUGAACCAGCCAUGCCGCGUGGAGGAUGAAGGUCCUCUGGAUUGUAAACUUCUUUUAUUUGGGAAGAAACUCCCGAUUUCCAUCGGGAUUGACGGUACCAGAUGAAUAAGCACCGGCUAACUCCGUGCCAGCAGCCGCGGUAAUACGGAGGGUGCAAGCUUUAUCGGGUUUCACUGGGGCGUAAGGGUGCGGGGGUGGGCGUGGAGAAAUCUCCGGGCUUAACCCGGAAACUGCCAUUGAUACUAUUUGUCUUGAAUACUCUGGAGGUGAGCGGAAUAUGUCAUGUAGCGGUGAAAUGCUUAGAUAUGACAUAGAACACCCAUUGCGAAGGCAGCUCACUACGGAAAUAUUGACGCUGAGGCACGAAAGCGUGGGGAUCAAACAGGAUUAGAUACCCCAGUAGUC